GCGCUCACGCAACCGCCACUGUCUGGAGCGGGCUCGCCUCUGCGGCGGCACUCACCGCCCGGGCUUUACUGAAGCGGAGUCUAGCAUGUGCGGCUGCUCCACAGCGGUGUGGGUGGCGGCGGCUCCUCUGCAGCAGCCUCGGCAGUAGGGGUCAGGGUGGCCAAGCCCACCGUGGAGCUCAUCUGAGAGUUGUAAGGUACGGGACUGCCUCGGUCUUUGGGACGCCCCGUCUGGUAGCAUCCCAGAUCCAGCACGUUCCUUCCGGCCCUGCACCCCGGCCCGGUGCCUCACACCCCGCUACCCCAUGCAUCCAGACUCUAAGGCAGCCCCUGCAUCUCAGUCCUGACAUCGCUGUCCCUGGAGCAUCCUCCGCUGGAGCUGGAGCUUGACAGGAUCGGCUUCGCCAUCGCCCGGCGUUUGGCCCAGGACAGGGCCCACGUGGUCGUCAGCAGCCGGAAGCAGCAGAAUGUGGACCAGGCGGUGGCCACGCUGCAGGGGGAGGGGCUGAGCGUGACGGGCACUGUGUGCCAUGUGGGGAAGGCGGAGGACCGGGAGCGGCUGGUGGCCAUGGUGAGCUGCAGGGAAAUGGGCACAGAGCCAGGAGGUGGAAAAGGAAGCCAGCCUGAGCCUCCUUCCCUGCUUUCCUAGACAGCAGCACAUUUUUACUGUGUGCCUUUCUAUUAUGUCCAUAUACUAACGUCAGAGAAUCAUCCCAUCUCAGUCAGAGAAUUUUAAAACAUUCUAAUGCUUCAACCCUGCAUCAUCCCUUGAGUACCCCAAAGAAACAGCUGGUACUGGUUCUGCAAAAAAAAAAAAAAAA
Molecule: small RNA, 820 nt
Filed under: Rattus norvegicus (Norway rat)
Lineage: Eukaryota; Metazoa; Chordata; Mammalia; Rodentia; Muridae
Description: mammalian target of rapamycin (mTOR) associated RNA 1
Source: RNAcentral